GAUGAACGCUGGCGGCGUGCCUAAUACAUGCAAGUCGAGCGAACAGAUGAGGAGCUUGCUCCUCUGACGUUAGCGGCGGACGGGUGAGUAACACGUGGAUAAUCUACCUAUAAGACUGGGAUAACUUCGGGAAACCGGAGCUAAUACCGGAUAAUAUAUUGAACCGCAUGGUUCAAUAGUGAAAGACGGUUUUGCUGUCACUUAUAGAUGGAUCCGCGCGGCAUGAGCUAGUUGGUAAGGUAACGGCUUACCAAGGCAACUAUGCGUAGCCGACGUGAGAGGGUGAUCGGCCACACUGGAACUGAGACACGGUCCAGACUCCUACGGGAGGCAGCAGUAGGGAAUCUUCCGCAAUGGGCGAAAGCCUGACGGAGCAACGCCGCGUGAGUGAUGAAGGUCUUCGGAUCGUAAAGCUCUGUUAUUAGGGAAGAACAAAUGUGUAAGUAACUAUGCACGUCUUGACGGUACCUAAUCAGAAAGCCACGGCUAACUACGUG
This 497-nucleotide ribosomal RNA is filed under the name uncultured bacterium. RNAcentral's name for it is "partial 16S ribosomal RNA". It matches the Rfam family "Bacterial small subunit ribosomal RNA", at positions 28 to 507 of the family's 1533-position model. The record is from RNAcentral.